AUUGAACGCUGGCGGCAUGCCUUACACAUGCAAGUCGAACGGUAACGGGCCUUCGGGUGCCGACGAGUGGCGAACGGGUGAGUAAUACAUCGGAACGUGCUCGAUCGUGGGGGAUAACGAGGCGAAAGCUUUGCUAAUACCGCAUACGAUCUACGGAUGAAAGCAGGGGACCACAAGGCCUUGCGCGGACGGAGCGGCCGAUGGCAGAUUAGGUAGUUGGUGGGAUAAAAGCUUACCAAGCCGACGAUCUGUAGCUGGUCAGAGAGGAUGAUCAGCCACACUGGGACUGAGACACGGCCCAGACUCCUACGGGAGGCAGCAGUGGGGAAUUUUGGACAAUGGGCGCAAGCCUGAUCCAGCCAUGCCGCGUGCAGGAUGAAGGCCUUCGGGUUGUAAACUGCUUUUGUACGGAACGAAAAGCCUUCUUUUAAUACAGGAGGGUCAUGACGGUACCGGAAGAAUAAGCACCGGCUAACUACGUG
RNAcentral lists this ribosomal RNA (482 nucleotides) under uncultured bacterium. Its description in RNAcentral is "partial 16S ribosomal RNA". It matches the Rfam family "Bacterial small subunit ribosomal RNA", at positions 30 to 507 of the family's 1533-position model. The record is from RNAcentral.